This 254-nucleotide ribosomal RNA is filed under the name uncultured bacterium. RNAcentral describes it as "partial 16S ribosomal RNA". It matches the Rfam family "Bacterial small subunit ribosomal RNA", at positions 524 to 776 of the family's 1533-position model. The record is from RNAcentral.
UACGAACUGUGCGAACGUUAUUCGGAAUCACUGGGCUUACAGGGUGCGUAGGCGGCUCAACAAGUCAGGUGUGAAAGCCCCCCGGCUCAACCGGGGAACUGCGCUUGAAACUGUUAGGCUCGAGUCAGCUAGAGGUACACGGAACUUCCAGUGGAGCGGUGAAAUGUGUUGAUAUUGGAAGGAACACCGGAGGCGAAAGCGGUGUACUGGGGCUGAUCUGACGCUGAGGCACGAAAGCCAGGGGAGCGAACGGG